UGGGGAAUAUUGGACAAUGGGCGCAAGCCUGAUCCAGCCAUGCCGCGUGAGUGAUGAAGGCCCUAGGGUUGUAAAGCUCUUUCGCACGUGACGAUAAUGACGGUAGCGUGAGAAGAAGCCCCGGCUAACUUCGUGCCAGCAGCCGCGGUAAUACGAAGGGGGCUAGCGUUGUUCGGAAUCACUGGGCGUAAAGCGCACGUAGGCGGAUACUUAAGUCAGGGGUGAAAUCCCGGGGCUCAACCUCGGAACUGCCUUUGAUACUGGGUAUCUUGAGUCCGGGAGAGGUUGGUGGAACUCCGAGUGUAGAGGUGAAAUUCGUAGAUAUUCGGAAGAACACCAGUGGCGAAGGCGGCCAACUGGCCCGGUACUGACGCUGAGGUGCGAAAGCGUGGGGAGCAAA
RNAcentral lists this ribosomal RNA (400 nucleotides) under uncultured bacterium. RNAcentral's name for it is "bacterial SSU rRNA". It matches the Rfam family "Bacterial small subunit ribosomal RNA", at positions 355 to 772 of the family's 1533-position model. The record is from RNAcentral.